UAGGGAAUCUUCCGCAAUGGGCGAAAGCCUGACGGAGCAACGCCGCGUGAGUGAUGAAGGUCUUCGGAUCGUAAAACUCUGUUAUUAGGGAAGAACAAAUGUUUAAGUAACUAUGCACGUCUUGACGGUACCUAAUCAGAAAGCCACGGCUAACUACGUGCCAGCAGCCGCGGUAAUACGUAGGUGGCAAGCGUUAUCCGGAAUUAUUGGGCGUAAAGCGCGCGUAGGCGGUUUUUUAAGUCUGAUGUGAAAGCCCACGGCUCAACCGUGGAGGGUCAUUGGAAACUGGAAAACUUGAGUGCAGAAGAGGAAAGUGGAAUUCCAUGUGUAGCGGUGAAAUGCGCAGAGAUAUGGAGGAACACCAGUGGCGAAGGCGACUUUCUGGUCUGUAACUGACGCUGAUGUGCGAAAGCGUGGGGAUCAAACAGG
RNAcentral lists this ribosomal RNA (429 nucleotides) under Actinomycetes bacterium. RNAcentral describes it as "Actinobacteria bacterium partial 16S ribosomal RNA". It matches the Rfam family "Bacterial small subunit ribosomal RNA", at positions 355 to 776 of the family's 1533-position model. The record is from RNAcentral. Lineage: Bacteria; Bacillati; Actinomycetota; Actinomycetes.